RNAcentral lists this long non-coding RNA (752 nucleotides) under Linum usitatissimum (flax). RNAcentral's name for it is "long non-coding RNA (LUSI_LNC004171)". The record is from RNAcentral. Lineage: Eukaryota; Viridiplantae; Streptophyta; Magnoliopsida; Malpighiales; Linaceae.
GUACAUAGCUCUUGGAAGUUGGAACCAGACUUUCUUGCAUUUCAUCAUCCAGAUACAAUACAGUUACAUAACUGAAAUUUACACAAGGAUUAGGGCAAGAAAAUAACAAGGAAUUAAGAAGAGCCACACGAAGGGGCCGGGCGCCGUAAAAAGAGAAGUACAUACAUAAAGCAACUGGAUAUCAAUUAAUUAAUUAAUUAAUCAUCCGAAUAUGCAACUGGAUUAACCGCAAGAAACUGGGUAAUCAAUCAAGUAGGAUGGGGGGAUUAAUUGAUUAAUGUUGGGGUUGAUUGUAGAAGUGAUGAUGAGGAUCAGGUCCACCUGGAGAUACUCUGUCGGCACCACCUGGACCAUCCGCCACAACCGCAACAAUGCUGCGGCGGGGGCGGGUGGGGUCGAUGGGACGCGGAUGUUUGUUUUAGUAGGUCAUAAGCUUGGACUUGGUGUAUCCUAAUUUCUGAAGCAGAUACCGGCUUUCCAUCAUCUGCUUCCUGCUGCCAGCUGACGGUGGUUGCGGUGCUGGGACUCCUGAUAUUGGUGCUGGCCGCGCCGCCUCAGCGAUCAUCGGGGCAAGAAGCAUCAUUAAUAUUGUAAGGGCUGCAGUAAGCCGCAUAACAUAACUCAUGAUGAGGCCGGCUGGAUUAGAUUUAGUCAUUAUAUUAUUAGUUGACGUACGUGGAUAAUGGAUUUGGCUGGGGAGUAGCUAGGGCUACCUGUAGGAUGGGGGAAGGAGAAUGACUGAGAAUGAGAGC